GAAAUGCGAUAAGUAAUGUGAAUUGCAGAAUUCAGUGAAUCAUCGAAUCUUUGAACGCACCUUGCACUCCUUGGUAUUCCUUGGAGCAUGCCUGUUUGAGUAUCAUGAAAUCUUCAAAGUAAAUCUUUUGUUAACUCAAUUGGUUUCUACUUUGGUAUUGGAGGUCUUUGCAGCUUCACACCUGCUCCUCUUUGUUCAUUAGCUGGAUCUCAGUGUUAUGCUUGGUUCCACUCGGCGUGAUAAGUUAUCUAUCGCUGAGGACACUGUAAAAGGUGGCCAAGGUAAAUGCAGAUGAACCGCUUCUAAUAGUCCAUUGACUUGGACAAUACUUUUAUGAUCUGAUCUCAAAUCAGGUAGGACUACCCACUGAACUUAAGC
Molecule: unclassified non-coding RNA, 378 nt
Filed under: plant metagenome
Description: partial contains 5.8S ribosomal RNA, internal transcribed spacer 2, and large subunit ribosomal RNA
Rfam family: 5.8S ribosomal RNA (bases 1-105)
Source: RNAcentral